This 305-nucleotide unclassified non-coding RNA is filed under the name uncultured fungus. Its description in RNAcentral is "partial contains 5.8S ribosomal RNA, internal transcribed spacer 2, and large subunit ribosomal RNA". The stretch from base 1 to 52 matches the Rfam family "5.8S ribosomal RNA", at positions 103 to 154 of the family's 154-position model. The record is from RNAcentral. Lineage: Eukaryota; Fungi.
AACGCACCUUGCACCCUUUGGUAUUCCGAAGGGUAUGCCUGUUUGAGUGUCAUUAAAUUCUCAACUUCUAAGAUUUUAUUAUCUUUGAAGCUUGGACUAUGGAGGUUAUUGCAGGCGAUUAACAUUGUCAGCUCCUCUUAAAUGCAUUAGCGGAACUCUCAAGUACCAGCUUUGGUUUGAUAAGUAUAUCUAUGCCGUCGCUGUGAACUUUUAUGUUCAGCUUCUAAUGGUCUUCGGACUGUCUCUUAUGAGGCAUACACUUUAAGCUUGACCUCAAAUCAGGUAGGACUACCCGCUGAACUUAA